This 433-nucleotide ribosomal RNA is filed under the name uncultured bacterium. RNAcentral's name for it is "partial 16S ribosomal RNA". It matches the Rfam family "Bacterial small subunit ribosomal RNA", at positions 29 to 507 of the family's 1533-position model. The record is from RNAcentral.
AACGAACGCUGGCGGCAUGCCUAACACAUGCGAGUCGAACGAGACCUUCGGGUCUAGUGGCGCACGGGUGCGUAACGCGUGGGAACCUGCCCUUAGGUUCGGAAUAACUCCCCGAAAGGGGUGCUAAUACCGGAUAAUGUCUUCGGACCAAAGAUUUAUCGCCUUUGGAUGGGCCCGCGUUGGAUUAGCUAGUUGGUAGGGUAAAAGCCUACCAAGGCGACGAUCCAUAGCUGGUCUGAGAGGAUGAUCAGCCACACUGGGACUGAGACACGGCCCAGACUCCUACGGGAGGCAGCAGUGGGGAAUAUUGGACAAUGGGCGAAAGCCUGAUCCAGCAAUGCCGCGUGAGUGAUGAAGGCCUUAGGGUUGUAAAGCUCUUUUACCCGGGAUGAUAAUGACAGUACCGGGAGAAUAGGCUCCGGCUAACUCCGUG